RNAcentral lists this ribosomal RNA (368 nucleotides) under uncultured organism. Its description in RNAcentral is "bacterial SSU rRNA". It matches the Rfam family "Bacterial small subunit ribosomal RNA", at positions 526 to 896 of the family's 1533-position model. The record is from RNAcentral.
CGAAGGUCCCAAGCGUUAUCCGGAUUUAUUGGGUUUAAAGGGUGCGUAGGCGGGUUAUUAAGUCAGUGGUGAAAGCUCCAUGCCUAACAUGGAAAUUGCCAUUGAUACUGAUGAUCUUGAGUACAUUUGAAGUGGGCGGAAUGUGUCAUGUAGUGGUGAAAUACUUAGAUAUGACACAGAACACCGAUUGCGUAGGCAGCUCACUAAACUGUAACUGACGCUGAGGCACGAAAGCGUGGGGAGCAAACAGGAUUAGAUACCCUGGUAGUCCACGCCCUAAACGAUGAUCACUCGAUGUGUGCAAUACACCGUACGCGUCCAAGCGAAAGCAUUAAGUGAUCCACCUGGGGAGUACGGCCGCAAGGCUG